GUGCUCGCUUCGGCAGCACAUAUACUACAGAUUGGAACAAUACAGAGAAGAUUAGCAUGGUCCCUGCGUAAGGAUGACAUGCAAAUUCAUGAAGAGCUCCAUAUUAAA
This is a small nuclear RNA of Myotis lucifugus (little brown bat), 108 nucleotides long. The record is from Ensembl. Lineage: Eukaryota; Metazoa; Chordata; Mammalia; Chiroptera; Vespertilionidae.